RNAcentral lists this ribosomal RNA (1175 nucleotides) under uncultured bacterium. Its description in RNAcentral is "bacterial SSU rRNA". It matches the Rfam family "Bacterial small subunit ribosomal RNA", at positions 39 to 1179 of the family's 1533-position model. The record is from RNAcentral.
GCGGCGUGCCUAAUACAUGCAAGUCGAACGCACUGACGUCGACAGAAGGUGCUUGCACUGGAAGUUGAUUGACGUGAGUGGCGGACGGGUGAGUAACACGUGGGUAACCUGCCCUUAAGCGGGGGAUAACAUUUGGAAACAGAUGCUAAUACCGCAUAAAAGUUGAGAUCACAUGGUCUUAAUUUGAAAGACGGCCUUUGGCUGUCACUUAAGGAUGGACCCGCGGCGUAUUAGCUAGUUGGUGAGAUAAUAGCCCACCAAGGCGAUGAUACGUAGCCGACCUGAGAGGGUAAUCGGCCACAUUGGGACUGAGACACGGCCCAAACUCCUACGGGAGGCAGCAGUAGGGAAUCUUCCACAAUGGACGAAAGUCUGAUGGAGCAACGCCGCGUGAGUGAAGAAGGUUUUCGGAUCGUAAAACUCUGUUGUUGGAGAAGAACAGGGACUAGAGUAACUGUUAGUCCUUUGACGGUAUCCAACUAGAAAGCCACGGCUAACUACGUGCCAGCAGCCGCGGUAAUACGUAGGUGGCAAGCGUUGUCCGGAUUUAUUGGGCGUAAAGCGAGCGCAGGCGGUUUCUUAAGUCUGAUGUGAAAGCCUUCGGCUUAACCGAAGAAGUGCAUCAGAUACUGGGAAACUUGAGUGCAGAAGAGGAAAGUGGAACUCCAUGUGUAGCGGUGAAAUGCGUAGAUAUAUGGAAGAACACCAGUGGCGAAGGCGGCUUUCUGGUCUGUAACUGACGCUGAGGCUCGAAAGUAUGGGGAGCGAACAGGAUUAGAUACCCUGGUAGUCCAUACCGUAAACGAUGAAUGCUAAGUGUUGGAGGGUUUCCGCCCUUCAGUGCUGCAGCUAACGCAUUAAGCAUUCCGCCUGGGGAGUACGACCGCAAGGUUGAAACUCAAAGGAAUUGACGGGGGCCCGCACAAGCGGUGGAGCAUGUGGUUUAAUUCGAAGUUACGCGAAGAACCUUACCAGGUCUUGACAUCUAGCGCCAAUCCUAGAGAUAGGACGUUCCCUUCGGGGACGCUAAGACAGGUGGUGCAUGGUUGUCGUCAGCUCGUGUCGUGAGAUGUUGGGUUAAGUCCCGCAACGAGCGCAACCCUUAUGAUUAAUUGCCAGCAUUUAGUUGGGCACUCUAAUCAGACUGCCGGUGACAAACCGGAGGAAGGUGGGGA